This 397-nucleotide ribosomal RNA is filed under the name uncultured microorganism. RNAcentral's name for it is "bacterial SSU rRNA". It matches the Rfam family "Archaeal small subunit ribosomal RNA", at positions 330 to 735 of the family's 1478-position model. The record is from RNAcentral.
GUGCAGCAGUCGCGAAACCCGCAAUACACGAAAGUGUGACGGGCCAUCCCGAGUGCCGUCCGCUGAGGACGGCUUUCCCCAGUGUACAUAGCUGGGGAAUAAGGAGAGGGCAAGCCUGGUGUCAGCCGCCGCGGUAAUACCAGCUCUCCGAGUGGUGGGGACGCUUAUUGGGCCUAAAGCAUCCGUAGCCGGCUGGGCAAGUCCUCCGUUAAAUCCAACGAUUCAAUCGUUGGGCUGCGGGGGAUACUGUCCAGCUUGGGGGCGGGAGAGGCCGACGGUAUUCCCGGGGUAGGGUGAAAUCCUAUAAUCCCGGGAGGACCACCAGUGGCGAAGGCUGUCGGCUAGAACGCGCCCGACGGUGAGGGAUGAAAGCUGGGGGAGCGAACCGGAUUAGAUA